RNAcentral lists this ribosomal RNA (386 nucleotides) under uncultured bacterium. Its description in RNAcentral is "bacterial SSU rRNA". It matches the Rfam family "Bacterial small subunit ribosomal RNA", at positions 30 to 416 of the family's 1533-position model. The record is from RNAcentral.
AUUGAACGCUGGCGGCAUGCCUUACACAUGCAAGUCGAACGGCAGCGGACCUUCGGGUGCCGGCGAGUGGCGAACGGGUGAGUAAUAUAUCGGAACGUACCUUUCAGUGGGGGAUAACGUAGCGAAAGUUACGCUAAUACCGCAUAUUCUGUGAGCAGGAAAGCAGGGGAUCGCAAGACCUUGCGCUGAUUGAGCGGCCGAUAUCAGAUUAGCUAGUUGGUGAGGUAAAGGCUCACCAAGGCGACGAUCUGUAGCGGGUCUGAGAGGAUGAUCCGCCACACUGGAACUGAGACACGGUCCAGACUCCUACGGGAGGCAGCAGUGGGGAAUUUUGGACAAGGGUGGCGCAAGCCUGAUCCAGCCAUGCCGCGUGAGUGAAGAAGGCC